RNAcentral lists this transfer RNA (91 nucleotides) under Rhizopus arrhizus HUMC 02. RNAcentral's name for it is "tRNA-Und (NNN) (tRNA-Und-NNN-1-1)". It matches the Rfam family "tRNA". From Rfam's summary of the family: Transfer RNA (tRNA) molecules are approximately 80 nucleotides in length. Their secondary structure includes four short double-helical elements and three loops (D, anti-codon, and T loops). Lineage: Eukaryota; Fungi; Mucoromycota; Mucoromycetes; Mucorales; Rhizopodaceae. The record is from RNAcentral. RNAcentral also lists the same sequence under 1 other name.
GGUCUUGUGGUGUAAUGGUUAACACUGCAUUGAACAAUCCAUUUGUAUUGACAAGCUAUUUGUAUUCCGAGUUCGAAUCUCGGCAAGACCG